AGAGUUUGAUCAUGGCUCAGGAUGAACGCUAGCGGCAGGCUUAACACAUGCAAGUCGAGGGGCAUCGGGAGGGAAGCUUGCUUUCCUUGCCGGCGACCGGCGCACGGGUGAGUAACACGUAUGCAACCUGCCCUCUUCAGGGGGACAACCUUCCGAAAGGGAGGCUAAUCCCGCGUAUAUCGGUUUCGGGCAUCCGAGAUCGAGGAAAGAUUCAUCGGAAGAGGAUGGGCAUGCGGCGCAUUAGCUAGACGGCGGGGUAACGGCCCACCGUGGCGACGAUGCGUAGGGGUUCUGAGAGGAAGGUCCCCCACACUGGUACUGAGACACGGACCAGACUCCUACGGGAGGCAGCAGUGAGGAAUAUUGGUCAAUGGGAGAGAUCCUGAACCAGCCAAGCCGCGUGAGGGAAGACGGCCCUAUGGGUUGUAAACCUCUUUUGUCGGAGAACAAAACCCGGGACGAGUCCCGGACUGCGUGUAUCCGAAGAAAAAGCAUCGGCUAACUCCGUGCCAGCAGCCGCGGUAAUACGGAGGAUGCGAGCGUUAUCCGGAUUUAUUGGGUUUAAAGGGUGCGUAGGCGGUCCGUUAAGUCAGCGGUAAAAUUGCGGGGCUCAACCCCGUCGAGCCGUUGAAACUGGCAGACUUGAGUUGGCGAGAAGUACGCGGAAUGCGCGGUGUAGCGGUGAAAUGCAUAGAUAUCGCGCAGAACUCCGAUUGCGAAGGCAGCGUGCCGGCGCCAGACUGACGCUGAGGCACGAAAGCGUGGGGAUCGAACAGGAUUAGAUACCCUGGUAGUCCACGCAGUAAACGAUGAAUGCUGGUUGUCCGGGUCGAAUGAGAUCUGGGCGGCGAAGCGAAAGCGAUAAGCAUUCCACCUGGGGAGUACGCCGGCAACGGUGAAACUCAGAGGAAUUGACGGGGGCCCGCACAAGCGGAGGAACAUGUGGUUUAAUUCGAUGAUACGCGAGGAACCUUACCCGGGCUCAAACGGGAGUGGAAUGGACCAGAGACGGUUCAGCCUACGGGCCGCUUCCGAGGUGCUGCAUGGUUGUCGUCAGCUCGUGCCGUGAGGUGUCGGCUUAAGUGCCAUAACGAGCGCAACCCCCGCCGGCAGUUGCUAACGGGCAAUGCCGAGGACUCUGCCGGGACUGCCGCCGCAAGGCGUGAGGAAGGCGGGGAUGACGUCAAAUCAGCACGGCCCUUACGUCCGGGGCGACACACGUGCUACAAUGGGCGGUACAGCGGGAAGCCACCUGGCGACAGGGAGCGGAACCCGAAAGCCUGUCUCAGUUCGGAUUGGAGUCUGCAACCCGACUCCAUGAAGCUGGAUUCGCUAGUAAUCGCGCAUCAGCCACGGCGCGGUGAAUACGUUCCCGGGCCUUGUACACACCGCCCGUC
This 1397-nucleotide ribosomal RNA is filed under the name uncultured Bacteroidales bacterium. RNAcentral's name for it is "bacterial SSU rRNA". It matches the Rfam family "Bacterial small subunit ribosomal RNA". The record is from RNAcentral. Lineage: Bacteria; Pseudomonadati; Bacteroidota; Bacteroidia; Bacteroidales.